AGUGAACGCUGGCGGUAGGCCUAACACAUGCAAGUCGAACGGCAGCACAGUAAGAGCUUGCUCUUACGGGUGGCGAGUGGCGGACGGGUGAGGAAUACAUCGGAAUCUACUUUUUCGUGGGGGAUAACGUAGGGAAACUUACGCUAAUACCGCAUACGACCUACGGGUGAAAGCAGGGGAUCUUCGGACCUUGCGCGAUUGAAUGAGCCGAUGUCGGAUUAGCUAGUUGGCGGGGUAAAGGCCCACCAAGGCGACGAUCCGUAGCUGGUCUGAGAGGAUGAUCAGCCACACUGAAACUGAGACACGGUCCAGACUCCUACGGGAGGCAGCAGGGGGGAAUAUUGGACAAUGGGCGCAAGCCUGAUCAGCCAUACCGCGUGGGUGAAGAAGGCCUUCGGGUUGUAAAGCCCUUUUGUUGGGAAAGAAAAGCAGCAGGUUAAUACCCCGCUGUUCUGACGGUACCCAAAGAAUAAGCACCGGCUAACUUCGUG
RNAcentral lists this ribosomal RNA (491 nucleotides) under uncultured bacterium. Its description in RNAcentral is "partial 16S ribosomal RNA". It matches the Rfam family "Bacterial small subunit ribosomal RNA", at positions 29 to 507 of the family's 1533-position model. The record is from RNAcentral.